UUAAAAUGUAAUAAAAUUUACUAAAUUAGUAUUAGUUAAGUUCUUGAAAAUUAAAAAAUUUGGCGGUAUUUUAGUCUAUUCAGAGGAACCUGUUCUGUAAUUGAUAAUCCACGAUUAAUUUUACUUAAAUUAUUAAUUUGUAUAUCGUUGUAAAUAGAAUAUUUUAAAAGAAUAAUAAUAUUCAAAAAUUUAAUUUAAAAAGAAAAUCAAAUCAAGGUGCAGUUUAUAUUUAAGAAGUAAUGGGUUACAAUAAAUUUAUUUAUAUGGAAGAUUAAUUGAAAUUUUAAUUAGAAAGUGGAUUUGAAAGUAAUUUAAUAAAGUUUUUCUAAAUGAUUAUAGCUCUAAAAUAUGU
This 352-nucleotide ribosomal RNA is filed under the name Hypodacnella sp. CO920. RNAcentral's name for it is "partial 12S ribosomal RNA". The record is from RNAcentral. Lineage: Eukaryota; Metazoa; Arthropoda; Insecta; Coleoptera; Cerylonidae.